RNAcentral lists this ribosomal RNA (423 nucleotides) under Escherichia coli. Its description in RNAcentral is "bacterial LSU rRNA". It matches the Rfam family "Bacterial large subunit ribosomal RNA", at positions 2520 to 2925 of the family's 2925-position model. Lineage: Bacteria; Pseudomonadati; Pseudomonadota; Gammaproteobacteria; Enterobacterales; Enterobacteriaceae. The record is from RNAcentral.
GGCACCUCGAUGUCGGCUCAUCACAUCCUGGGGCUGAAGUAGGUCCCAAGGGUAUGGCUGUUCGCCAUUUAAAGUGGUACGCGAGCUGGGUUUAGAACGUCGUGAGACAGUUCGGUCCCUAUCUGCCGUGGGCGCUGGAGAAUUGAGGGGGGCUGCUCCUAGUACGAGAGGACCGGAGUGGACGCAUCACUGGUGUUCGGGUUGUCAUGCCAAUGGCACUGCCCGGUAGCUAAAUGCGGAAGAGAUAAGUGCUGAAAGCAUCUAAGCACGAAACUUGCCCCGAGAUGAGUUCUCCCUGACUCCUUGAGAGUCCUGAAGGAACGUUGAAGACGACGACGUUGAUAGGCCGGGUGUGUAAGCGCAGCGAUGCGUUGAGCUAACCGGUACUAAUGAACCGUGAGGCUUAACCUUACAACGCCGAAG